GUAGGAUGCAAGCGUUGUCCGGAUUUACUGGGCGUAAAGCGCGCGCAGGCGGCACUCUAAGUACGUCGUGAAAUAUCCCGGCUCAACCGGGAGGGUGCGAUGUAGACUAGGGAGCUAGAGGUCGGUAGAGGGGGGNGGAAUUGCUGGUGUAGCGGUGAAAUGCGUAGAGAUCAGCAGGAACACCCGUGGCGAAGGCGGCCCCCUGGGCCGUACCUGACGCUGAGGCGCGAAGGCUAGGGGAGCGAACGGGAUUAGAUACCCCGGUAGUCCUAGCAGUAAACGAUGGCCACUAGGUGUGGGGGGUGUUGACCCCUUCCGUGCCGUAGCUAACGCAUUAAGUGGCCCGCCUGGGGAGUACGGUCGCAAGACUA
RNAcentral lists this ribosomal RNA (371 nucleotides) under uncultured bacterium. RNAcentral describes it as "bacterial SSU rRNA". It matches the Rfam family "Bacterial small subunit ribosomal RNA", at positions 527 to 896 of the family's 1533-position model. The record is from RNAcentral.